RNAcentral lists this ribosomal RNA (550 nucleotides) under uncultured bacterium. RNAcentral's name for it is "bacterial SSU rRNA". It matches the Rfam family "Bacterial small subunit ribosomal RNA", at positions 355 to 896 of the family's 1533-position model. The record is from RNAcentral.
UAGGGAAUCUUCGGCAAUGGACGGAAGUCUGACCGAGCAACGCCGCGUGAGUGAAGAAGGUUUUCGGAUCGUAAAGCUCUGUUGUAAGAGAAGAACGAGUGUGAGAGUGGAAAGUUCACACUGUGACGGUAUCUUACCAGAAAGGGACGGCUAACUACGUGCCAGCAGCCGCGGUAAUACGUAGGUCCCGAGCGUUGUCCGGAUUUAUUGGGCGUAAAGCGAGCGCAGGCGGUUAGAUAAGUCUGAAGUUAAAGGCUGUGGCUUAACCAUAGUAGGCUUUGGAAACUGUUUAACUUGAGUGCAAGAGGGGAGAGUGGAAUUCCAUGUGUAGCGGUGAAAUGCGUAGAUAUAUGGAGGAACACCGGUGGCGAAAGCGGCUCUCUGGCUUGUAACUGACGCUGAGGCUCGAAAGCGUGGGGAGCAAACAGGAUUAGAUACCCUGGUAGUCCACGCUGUAAACGAUGAGUGCUAGGUGUUAGACCCUUUCCGGGGUUUAGUGCCGUGGCUAACGCAUUAAGCACUCCGCCUGGGGAGUACGACCGCAAGGUUG